Molecule: transfer RNA, 79 nt
Filed under: Gammaproteobacteria bacterium
Lineage: Bacteria; Pseudomonadati; Pseudomonadota; Gammaproteobacteria
Description: tRNA-Thr
Rfam family: tRNA
About the family: Transfer RNA (tRNA) molecules are approximately 80 nucleotides in length. Their secondary structure includes four short double-helical elements and three loops (D, anti-codon, and T loops).
Source: RNAcentral
UGCGGGGUAGAGCAGGUGGUCAGCUUGCCGGGGUUGUAACCCGGAGGUCGCUUGGUUCGAUUCCAGGCCCCCGCAACCA